RNAcentral lists this long non-coding RNA (883 nucleotides) under Fragaria vesca (wild strawberry). RNAcentral describes it as "long non-coding RNA (FVES_LNC002948)". The record is from RNAcentral. Lineage: Eukaryota; Viridiplantae; Streptophyta; Magnoliopsida; Rosales; Rosaceae.
UGAUCUAACAUUGAUCAAAACGGAAGCAAGUCUGUUGUUUCUAUUGAAUUAGGUUUGUGAGAGUUAGGACUAAACCAACAAAAAAAUUGCGGCAGCUGCUACUUUUGCAUUUCAUGAUUACUCUUUUUUUUGUCUGUUUGGUAUGCCUUUGUUUGUUAAAUUGGGUUUUGUUUGCUUUGCAUAUUGAUUAGAUUGGAGUUGUAGCCGAAAGGUUGAUAUGUGUAAAUAGGCUGAGCAAUUCUAUUUUGUUUUGCAGGGUUGGUGAACUAUGUGGUGUCAAAUUUUAUUACUGUUUUGGACUCAGGUAUGAAUUAUGUUAAGACUUCUAAUGCCUUUUCUUUUGGCAUUACAAUGUUAAUGUUUUAAGAGUCGGUGAGUUCUCAGUUGGUAUUUGGUUUAUUAAGUAAAUGAUGCUUGAUGCUUUUUAUCAAUUAUAUUUGUACAGUUUUCAGUUUGAAUCUUUUGUUCGUUUUAUAAAUGCAGAUACAAAAUUAGGUGGUUAUACGAUGCUAAGAACUCGAGGUUACUUCUGGCAAGGUAAUACAUCAUUGUUUUUUUUAAUGAAUCAUACAUGUUAAUGAAUUAAUUGGUUUUUUUUUUAACUCUUAAUGACUAAAUUGUUGAUUGUGAUUGUAAAGUGAAUGGCUGAUUUGCUCAUUUACAAUGGCUGUUGGUUUUUUCCUUCUUGCAGUCAUAAAGGCCUGAUCUCAAUUUAUUAAGCUAAACAGGCAGACAGACUUUGAAGAACAAAGGAGGGGAAGUUUCAAAACAUGGAAGGAAACUCCGUAUAUGCUGUUAUUAUCAAAGCAUCAAGUCAUUUUGCAGUCCUUUCUCUUAACUUCUAUUGCACUUUGUUAUAUGUAGAAGUGAAGGGGCUUUAGUA